This 85-nucleotide transfer RNA is filed under the name Felis catus (domestic cat). It matches the Rfam family "tRNA". From Rfam's summary of the family: Transfer RNA (tRNA) molecules are approximately 80 nucleotides in length. Their secondary structure includes four short double-helical elements and three loops (D, anti-codon, and T loops). Further hydrogen bonds mediate the characteristic L-shaped molecular structure. tRNAs have two regions of fundamental functional importance: the anti-codon, which is responsible for specific mRNA codon recognition, and the 3' end, to which the tRNAs corresponding amino acid is attached (by aminoacyl-tRNA synthetases). tRNAs cope with the degeneracy of the genetic code in two manners: having more than one tRNA (with a specific anti-codon) for a particular amino acid; and 'wobble' base-pairing, i.e. permitting non-standard base-pairing at the 3rd anti-codon position. The record is from Rfam by way of RNAcentral. Lineage: Eukaryota; Metazoa; Chordata; Mammalia; Carnivora; Felidae.
GCCUGGGUGGCUCAGUCAGUUAAGCGCCCGACUUCAGCUCAGGUCAUGAUCUCAUGGUUCGUGGGUUCGAGCCCCACAUUGGGCU